Molecule: ribosomal RNA, 491 nt
Filed under: Arabidopsis thaliana (thale cress)
Lineage: Eukaryota; Viridiplantae; Streptophyta; Magnoliopsida; Brassicales; Brassicaceae
Source: RNAcentral
CGUGAUUUGGGCUAUAUUACGGACCCAAAAUUACUUGUUCAAGCAUUGUUUUCGNAUUUNUUCAUGCAUCAAAGCUCGUUAAGACUAGAUGGGGUAUCCCGACAUAGCGGGUGGGACCCACGGCGAAUGGUUCAUCAAGUCUUCAAAAAAGNAUAUAUAUGAUUGCAUUGCAUAUACUAACGGAUGCGAUCAUACCAGCACUNNUGCACCGGAUCCCAUCAGAACUCCGCAGUUAAGCGUGCUUGGGCGAGAGUANUANUAGGAUGGGUGACCUCCCGGGAAGUCCUCGUGUUGCAUCCCUCUUUUAUGUUUAACUUUUUUUUUUUGGUUAUAACUUUAUGACUCCAUAACUUUUAGACCGUGAGGCCAAACUUGGCAUGUGAUACCUUUUCGGUUAGCCCAAAGACAGCCCUCCGACGAAAGAAGNAGGACUAUGNACUUUUCCAUUGACUCUUUGUCNNCCNCAGCUUUUGACCUUUNUCNUCUUUUUU